This 1179-nucleotide unclassified non-coding RNA is filed under the name Hevea brasiliensis (rubber tree). The record is from RNAcentral. Lineage: Eukaryota; Viridiplantae; Streptophyta; Magnoliopsida; Malpighiales; Euphorbiaceae.
CUCUCUCUCUCUCUCUCUCUAUGCCUUCCUUAAGCUUCGCUCUCCUCCUGCGGACUGCAGCUUUCAAGCUUGAAACCAAGGAAAUGGAACACAUUGAUGAUUUGUUGAUUGCGAGCGGGGGUGGUGUUGCUCCUGGAUUUCGGUUGCCUCUGAAUGCUGUUGGAGUUAAUCCAGGAACAAAAAGAACAAGCCUAACCUAAAUGCCUGCAAGCUCUCACAAAUUCCUUUCUCUUCCAAAAUCCCUGGCACUCGGACCAUUUAUAUCAAUACCUUUGGAUACUCACAUAAUCAGGCUAGUUUUUCUCUCUUUUUGCUUGCAGCUUUAAUGGAGAAUAGGAUAAAAUUUAGAUGCUUUAUGGGUUGUGAUUCUUGUGUACGGUGAUAAGCCAGAUGCUUAAUUUUACUAAUUAGGGCUCCAACAUGUUGGGGAGGAGCUUGUUAUCUUGAUCUUGAACUCAUUUGUUCAGUCAUGGCGAUAAUUUUAGUGUUUGCAAACUAAAAGUUCAGAAGGGAAAUGCAAAGAUUGGAAUUUUCAUUGGAGCUAGCUAGGAAUUCAUGAGAGAAUGAAAUACUUUUCAGUGAUGAAACAGAGACAAAAAGAAAAAGAACUGAUCUAAUGAAGGCAAUGUGAAUAUAAAAAUCAGCAAUAUUUGUUUUUCUAUCAUUGCAAGAAGCGAUGCAAUCGUGCAAUAUGAAUAAUUCAUAAACAAAGAAACACGAAAAUAUAUCAAGAAGACAUUAAACAUAGACGUCCUGCGCUAUCUACCAUAGAAGCAAUUAUUUGUGUGUGUGUGUGAUGGCAAAUUGCACAAGUGCAUUAUUUGCUACAAGCCACAUGCUUUGGGAUAAAAUUUUCUUCUUUUCUUGAUUGCUUUCAUUUUGUAGCAACUAAGCUCCAUUCAAGAAACACAGAGAGAUUGAAAGAGAAGAAGAGAGAUUUCAAUUUCAAUUACACUCUGCCCCAUGCAUUAUAAGGAAACAAAGUUAACAAAUAUAAUGUGAGAUAAUAAAAACACUUUUGAUAAUUCUCACCUAAUUAAAAGGAAAAAUAAAAUAAAGCAUAGAUUCUCAUGUACUCACUAGUCACUAAGUAAUAAAGCAAAUUAUAGUAUCUUGAUUCAAUGGUAAACGAUGUAGGAGUUGUUGGCAUUUGCAACACUAACACCACCACCACCACCA